UGAGUGCACAGUCAAUCGUGCAGGGUGGAAUGUGCAGAGUGUCCAAUAGAAGGGCAGCAGCUUGACAGUGGCUCUGGGGUUAGUGGGGUUCUUAGGGAUGGAGGACUAAAUAAAGCAGAAGGCAGCAUAGGAUCACAUUCACACAGAGACUGGACAAGGGAAAGUGCUACCUGCCUGGUGAUGAAUGUAAGGUCAAAGUGUGUCCAGCAGGGAAGGACCACACACUGAUGGAGUAAUAAAGGAAGAAGCAGAAGAGGAACAGAUAUAAGGAGAGUCUGUGAGAGACAGCAUAAAAUCAACAAUCAUACAAGAGGACAAGAACAAAAGCUGAAAGACAUGAGGAGCUGCCGUUGACCUCUCUCAGUUCAUCACCGACAUGCACCAGACCUGCGGAUAUGGAGGACUACCUGAUUUACAGAUUCUCUACCACAUGUUCAAACCAUACCUGCUGUGUUUGAGCCAUACUACACUUUAUAGGCAUAGUUUGAUGUAUUUUUAAUGACCAAAAAGAUCAGUACCACCAUACACACACACACACACACUAUAUUCCCAUGGCAACAGCUGUGGUCAGGUGGUUAGUGAGUCUGUUUGAUUCCCUUGAUUGAGUCUCUGGAGACUCUCUUUGACCACACAGAUGGGCCAUGUGUCACUGCAGCAGACAUGCAGCCUAGUGCUCAUCACAGAGGUAAAAAUAAUCAUAUCUAGCACACUCAGUAGAGGUGCAGGGAUAUUCAGACACUUCAGUGGGUUUAGAGAUGAACAGAACCUUUGAAGACUGCACUGGUUUUCCACUGGUAUACUCAAUGGUAAUUAAAAAAAAGAUUUUCAGGUGUAUAUUUGGAGCAUGGAGUAAACCGAGACCGCAAGAUUGAAGACAAAUUCUUUGAAGUGUCACUCACCACUCCUGUCUGCAGCCCCUCCUUUCAUGAUCCGAGCCACAAUCACGGCCCCUGUGGAAUCAUCCCGCCGAAUAGUGGCACCCUGAGAGACAGAGAGAGAGACAAACAGACAGUUCAACAACCUAUACAUUUAUGAUGGAUCAAAAUUUGUCUGAUGGAUCAAAAUGCUGAUGGACCAAAUUGUCGUGUAUACUGAACUUUUGUUUAAAUUUAACUUGAAAACUGAAAACCUAACAAUAAAAUCUAUUCAAAAUAUUAUCAGAUAAUAUAAUAAUAUAUCAAUAAUACUCAAAUAACAGUAUAUGUGUCUUUAUAUUUUGGGAGUCACUGUAUUUGUGCAACUGGCAUUGUUUAUUUCUUUUACCAGCGG
Carassius gibelio (silver crucian carp) is the source of this 1269-nucleotide long non-coding RNA. RefSeq lists it as uncharacterized. The transcript is spliced from 4 exons. NCBI's taxonomy places the organism in Eukaryota, Metazoa, Chordata, Actinopteri, Cypriniformes, Cyprinidae. The record is from RefSeq and is a predicted model, not a curated record.